Molecule: RNA transcript, 3568 nt
Organism: Eucalyptus grandis
Lineage: Eukaryota; Viridiplantae; Streptophyta; Magnoliopsida; Myrtales; Myrtaceae
Exons: 4
Source: RefSeq, a predicted model, not a curated record
AAGCGCCCUUCCCUUCCCUUCCUGUCCACAGGGGCUUUUGGACUGUUUCCCAGGAACCCUAGUCCAUCAGGGCCGUUGCUCCCCAGAUCCAACGGCCUGGAUCAGUCGGCGACUCUGCCGCGCUGCUUCGAUCGCAGUUCCUCCUCCAUAAACCUAGCCCGUAGAUAGAGACACCUAUACACAUCAUUCUCUCUCUCUCCACAUCCCCACCCCUCUCUCUCUCUCUCUCGAUCGAUCGAUCCCUCGACGAGAUUUGGGUGAAUCGUGCUCUGUUUCUGCCGAUCUCCAACCCCCCUCUCUCUCUCUCUCUCUCUCUCUCUCCUUCUCUGUUUUCUGCGUCUGCGGUUGUUCAUGUGGGUAGAGGAAGGGUGGGGGAAAAAGAGGAAAAAGAUUGGAUUUUUAUUUGUCCGUUUCUCGGCGAUCGUCGUGUUAAUUCGUGGGUCGGGGUCGAUCGGCUCGAUUGGCGGUUCGGUCGAUUGGUCGCACGUGUCCCCUUUCCUUGGAAACCGACCGGGGAGGGCAGAGUGAAGUCUUCAGUCUCGUCGCGCGGAUCGACUCAGUGAGCUCCCCUCCCAUGGCGUGUUCGGAGGACGCUCCUCGUACUCGACCGUAGUCGUUUUUUUUUCUCUUGGGGAAGGAAAGGGAAGGGGGGGGAGGUCUUUCUUUUUUGUCCGUACAUGGUCCGGACCCGGUGUUGGUCAGAAGGGGGCACCGAGCGUCGCGUCCCGUGAAGUGGGUCGUCGCGGGAGGGAUCGGCUGAGUGGGCGGCCGGGUGAUUUGGCGAGCCGAGGGGGGCGGCGGGGUAGGAGAUCGAGCGGUCGGGCGGCGUCCGGUUGUGGAGCGCGGCGGCGAUGCCAUCGGUCGGCAUGCGACGGACGACGAGGGUUUCGGAGUGGUGAAGGGCGUCGACGGGGCGCGCGUGUUGCGCUCCGGCCGGCGCCUGUGGCCGGAGUCGGGCGAGGGCAAGCUCAGGAAGGGAGGCGGCGGCGAGAGGGAUGAGUGGUUUAGCAUCAUGGAUAGCAGAGGUGGGGGUGGUGGGAAUGGAGUUGUUGGUGUUGGUCUCAAGUCCAAGCAAGUUGGGUUGGCUAAGAAUGUGAGUCCGAAGCGUGAGGUUGCUGUAAUUGAAAUGGGGGACGAUGAAUUCGAGAAUCCUGAUGUCAAAACUGAGUCUUUGAUCGGAAGGGACAAUGAGGAUAGGAUGACUGGGAUUGUCUAUAGCAGGAAAAGGAAGAGAGAGGCGGUGCCUGGCUUCGAGAUUGGUGAUGGUAAGAAGUAUGGGAUUCACUUCUCUAGGAGGCAGAAGAGGAAGAGUGGUGAUGCUCAGGGAGAGGAUUUGCAGGGUCCUCGGGCACUGUCUGUGGUUUUGGAGCUGCCACAUCGAGAAAAUUCUGCAGUUGUUGGCCUUUUGCGUUCUAUUCUGCAGUACAUGAAGAGGGUCUGCAUUAGAUUGUCUGCACUGUCAAAGCUUGUCAUGUCAGAGCCGCUUCGGGGUGUCUAUGCAUUGCAUGGAAUUCAUUUUUCACGGGAUUGUGCUUCCAUUAUCAGCUCGGGGACAUGCAAGUUCUUUGGAUCCAGGCAGUUUACACCUAUUUUUUGUGUGGAUUUUUCUGCAGUUCCCUUUUGUUUCAUGUACAUGCAUCAUCGUAUGCUUCUCCGACAUCAGCUUGUGCCAUUGGCUCCUGUAAAUAAUUCAGCGUUGGUGCAAACAAAUGAUGGUUUGGUGACUGUGGAAGAGGAGGAACUCUCGGACGAAGAUUAUUCUUUUUUUGCCUUCAGAAAGCAAAUCAGCCAGUAAUGUUGAAGUUACAGGGAGUGAGUUGCGGCUGCACGUGUCUUCUAGAGGUGCUAAGGUUGACAAUCGAUCUCGCAACAUAGAUAUGGAUCGAAUUCUCGUGGCAUAAGAAAAAGGAGGAGUCAACUGAGGUCAAGGAGGAGAGUUAGAAAUCCUUCACUAGCAUGUGUGAGGAAAUGUAAUGGAGCAUUAGCCUCAGACUUAGUCAGUGCUAAGAAGAAUGGAUUCCCAUUUUCUUCAAUAAUUUCUGGUGACAAGAGAAGAUCUGUUCGGACUAGGUCUGCUGGAAGUAUUGAUGAGAUGAGCGCUACUGUGACCAGAGUUCAACAGGAUACAGAUAUAUUAUCCUGUAAUGCAAAUUUAUUAAUUAGCGAUUCAGACAAGUGUUCCAGGGAAGAAAGUGGAAAUGUCAUGUUGGAACUUUUGGGCUCUGGCGAGUGGUCUCUUGUUUUCAAAAGUGGGGGGGUGGUGAGAUAUGCUCACAAGGCACAAGAAGCUAUGAAACCCUCUUUCUCCAACCGUUUCACCCAUGCAAUGGUCUGGACAGGGGAUAAUGGUUGGAAAUUGGAAUUUCCUGACCGAGAUGAUUGGUCGAAAUUUAAGGAUCUUUACAAAGAGUGUUUUGAACAGAAAUAAGCAUGUUGUAUCUCCUAAGGCUCCUCCUGUUAAGAUAAUACCUGUUCCAGGGUAUGUGAAGUAGUAGGCUAUGGAGAAGAAAAUUCUGUACCCUUUACAAGACCAGAAAAUUAUAUUACCUUGAGUGCUGAUGAGGUGUCAAGAGCUAUGGCCAGUAAGACCGCAAGUUAUGACAUGGACUGUGAAGAUGAGGACUGGCUUCAUAAAUUCAAUGAUGAGUUCUUUGCUGAAAAUGAUCUGGCUGAGCGUGUUUCAGAGGACACCUUUGAGCUUAUGAUUGAUGCAUUUGAGAAGGCUUUCUAUUGCAAUCCUCAUGAUUUCUUGAAUGAUAAACCAGACCCUAAUCUUAGACUGGACAUAGAGAGAAAGGAUGUUGUGGAAGCUGUGUACCGUUAUUGGAUGAAGAAGCGGAAGCAGAGACGAUUGGCAUUGGUUAGAUUAUUUCAGGGUCAUCAAUCGAGGAAAGCUCCCUUGGUUCCAAAGCCUGCCCUGCGUAAGCGGAGGUCAUUUAAAAGGCAGGGAAGCCAGCAUGGACGAGGCAAGCAACCGGGUCUCUUGCAAGCAAUGGCAGCGGAAAGAGAUGCUAUAGAGGAACAGAGCGCCUUGCGGAAAGUCGAGGAAGCUCGAGCAUCAGCUAACAGGUCCAUGGAACUCGCAAUCGUGAAACGCCAGAGGGCUCAGUCCCUCAUGGGAAACGCGGACUUGGCCGCCUACAGAGCCACCGUGGCUCUCAGGAUUGCCGAAGCAGCUCAAGUCAUGGAGUCCCCCGAUGCAGCAGCCGCCCAUUUUCUCGACUAACAGUGACAGGAGAAGCGGGUACAGUCGGUGUGCGAAUCGGAACUGCCCAUGUUCUUUUCUCCUCUAAUUCAAGAAGGGUUUUGAUCUUCUGGAGCUGUCGGAGGCAAUUGUGAGCCGCGGUUUUUUCAAGAGGCUUUCGGGGAAAUUGUAAUUUUUGUACAGAAUUGGUUGAAUGUACAUGCUGUAUCACUAUGACCUCACAUCUGCAGCAGCAGAUGGGUUACGCAGGAAAUUUCUUUCGAGUUCGUUGGACGAACAAAAAGAGAGGAAAAAAAAAAAAAGAGGUGGAAAAUACAAGAAAUAUUUAAGUCAAUAAUAUAUGGACUGCCAUGUUUUUGUACA